RNAcentral lists this ribosomal RNA (537 nucleotides) under Triticum aestivum (bread wheat). Its description in RNAcentral is "partial small subunit ribosomal RNA". The record is from RNAcentral. Lineage: Eukaryota; Viridiplantae; Streptophyta; Magnoliopsida; Poales; Poaceae.
AUGGGCAAGUGGUGCUUGGGAUUUUUGCGGUUUGAGGAUGUUGAUCGGUUUCGGGUUGUAAAGCGGACUAAACGUGCAGUGGCAGCAGGGCGAGCUGAAUCAUAUACUAGGACAGCAGUUGGUGGAGGAGCUGCCUCAUCUUCCACAGCAGAUGUUGAGGAAUCACAUGAAGGAGUUGAGGUGGCUGCCCGGGAAGAUGUGGAGCGACCAUCACAAGCUGGCAGGUUAAGGGCAUCACCAGGACGGUUUGCGAAGUUCAACAGCUCACUAUCCCUGCCGCGGAAGUCUGAGCUAGUUUCAAGGUUGUUUUGGGGCCUCUUGAAUUUAUCAGAUACACUUCUAGGGGACUUCAGUAAAUUCCUGGUGCAGUCCUACCAGCCAGAGACCUUUGAAAUGGUGUUCAAAGGGUAUUUGAUCUUCCUAACGGGGGUCAAAAAGUCAAAUAUAAAGUUGACAAGGAUACAACUAGGAGAUUCAGAGAGACUUUCAACAUACGUGGAGAUUCUCAUCCCCAGAUCACUACAUGGUGCAAGAUGA